Molecule: small nucleolar RNA, 138 nt
Filed under: Ornithorhynchus anatinus (platypus)
Lineage: Eukaryota; Metazoa; Chordata; Mammalia; Monotremata; Ornithorhynchidae
Source: RNAcentral
CCCCUCUCAGGGUCGCACCUGGAGAGUUUCCAGUACUCUACCGGUCCCGACUACAAGAGGGAGAGUCGAGCAGAGACCCGCCCAUUCCAUUCCUAGCUCGGCCAGUGGCUAGCGAGUGGAAGACAAUCUGCUACAAGU